RNA transcript from Diabrotica virgifera virgifera (western corn rootworm), 697 nucleotides. It is a transcript of the gene named 60S ribosomal protein L37, with no coding region annotated. NCBI's taxonomy places the organism in Eukaryota, Metazoa, Arthropoda, Insecta, Coleoptera, Chrysomelidae. The record is from RefSeq and is a predicted model, not a curated record. The transcript is spliced from 2 exons.
UUGGUGGAGUUCUGGAAAAUUAGAACAAAUGAUUUAGAUUUUAAAACUAAUUUUGAAAAUAUGUAUUCUGAAUUUUUCAAGAUAGAUUGGUCCAUGCAUGGUCCGUGAAAGAACCAUCAAGGAAAUUUCUAAAUACGGAACACGAUGGUGUUGGUAGCACUGUUGAAGGACAUUUGUCAAAGUCAAAUACGUCAAGCUGUCAUUAAUGUCGCUAUCCUUUCCUUCCUUUUCCUUUUUAACUUAACACACGUUUGCAUAGGUAAGGUUAUACAGACUACAACACAUUUUCGUUAAUAAAUAAAUAACUUACCACAAAGCCAUUCGGUCCUUGGGGUAAUUUAAAGACUCAAAAUUCGAUAAAAAAUAAGGUAGGUCAAAAUGACCAAAGGUACCUCAAGUUUUGGUAAACGUCGCAAUAAGACCCACACCCUAUGCAGGAGGUGCGGUAGAUCUUCAUACCACAUCCAAAAGUCACAGUGUGCGCAAUGUGGCUACCCAUCUGCAAAACUACGUUCCUACAACUGGUCCAUCAAAGCCAAGAGGAGGAAGACCACCGGAACUGGCCGUCUCCGUCAUCUUAAAAUUGUACGCAGGCGUUUCCGUAAUGGAUUCCGUGAAGGUACUAAACCAGUUAAGAAAUCAACGUAGAUUUAUUAAUUUUUUUUUGUAUAAGAACAAAUAAAAAAACUGUUUAGUU